GACGAACGCUGGCGGCGUGCUUAACACAUGCAAGUCGAACGGAAAGGCCCUGCUUUUGUGGGGUGCUCGAGUGGCGAACGGGUGAGUAACACGUGAGUAACCUGCCCUUGACUUUGGGAUAACUUCAGGAAACUGGGGCUAAUACCGGAUAGGAGCUCCUGCUGCAUGGUGGGGGUUGGAAAGUGUCGGCGGUUGGGGAUGGACUCGCGGGUUAUCAGCUUGUUGGUGGGGUAGUGGCUUACCAAGGCUUUGACGGGUAGCCGGCCUGAGAGGGUGACCGGCCACAUUGGGACUGAGAUACGGCCCAGACUCCUACGGGAGGCAGCAGUGGGGAAUAUUGCACAAUGGGCGGAAGCCUGAUGCAGCAACGCCGCGUGCGGGAUGACGGCCUUCGGGUUGUAAACCGCUUUCGCCUGUGACGAAGCGUGAGUGACGGUAAUGGGUAAAGAAGCACCGGCUAACUACGUG
Molecule: ribosomal RNA, 468 nt
Filed under: uncultured bacterium
Lineage: Bacteria
Description: partial 16S ribosomal RNA
Rfam family: Bacterial small subunit ribosomal RNA
Source: RNAcentral